Molecule: ribosomal RNA, 396 nt
Filed under: uncultured bacterium
Lineage: Bacteria
Description: partial 16S ribosomal RNA
Rfam family: Bacterial small subunit ribosomal RNA
Source: RNAcentral
AUACGUAGGUGGCAAGCGUUAUCCGGAAUUACUGGGCGUAAAGGGCGCGUAGGCGGGGGUGCAAGUCAGAUGUGAAAUCUAUGGGCUUAACUCAUAAACUGCAUUUGAAACUGUAUCUCUUGAGUGCUGGAGAGGGAGACGGAAUUCCUUGUGUAGCGGUGAAAUGCGUAGAUAUAAGGAAGAACACCAGUGGCGAAGGCGGUCUCCGGGCCGGUAACUGACGCUGAGGCGCGAAGGCGGGGGGAGAAAACAGGAUUAGAUACCCUGGUAUUCCACGUGGUAAACGAUGAAUACUAGGUGUUGGGGGACUGAGCCCCUCAGUGCCGCAGUUAACGCAAUAAGUAUUCCGCCUGGGGAGUACGAUCGCAAGAUUGAAACUCAAAGGAAUUGACGGGG